GGAAUCAACGCUGGCGGCGUGCCUAACACAUGCAAGUCGCACGAGAAAGGGACUUCGGUCCUGAGUACAGUGGCGCACGGGUGAGUAACACGUGAAUAAUCUACCUCCGAGUGGGGAAUAACUGAGAGAAAUCUUAGCUAAUACCGCAUAACACUUACGAGUCAAAGCAGCAAUGCGCUUGGAGAGGAGUUCGCGGCAGAUUAGUUAGUUGGCGGGUAAUGGCCACCAAGACGAUGAUCUGUA
This 243-nucleotide ribosomal RNA is filed under the name uncultured bacterium. RNAcentral describes it as "partial small subunit ribosomal RNA". It matches the Rfam family "Bacterial small subunit ribosomal RNA", at positions 27 to 285 of the family's 1533-position model. The record is from RNAcentral.